UAAGGAAUAUUGCUCAAUGGGAGAAAUCCUGAAGCAGCAACGCCGCGUGGAGGAUGAAGGGUCUAUGACUUGUAAACUCCUGUAAAGAAGGAAAAAAUUCCCAUUUGAUGGGAGAUGAUGGUACUUCUGGAGUAAGCCCCGGCUAACUACGUGCCAGCAGCCGCGGUAAUACGUAGGGGGCAAGCGUUGUCCGGAUUUACUGGGUGUAACGGGUGCUCAGGCGGAUUUGUAAGUCAGAGGUGAAAUCUUACAGCUUAACUGUGAAACUGCCUUUGAUACUGCAAGCCUAGAGUAUGGAAGAGNGUGAUGGAAUAUCUGGUGUAGCAGUGAAAUGCGUAGAUAUCAGAUAGAACACCAAUGGCGAAGGCAGUCACUUGGUCCAUUACUGACGCUAAAGCACGAAAGCGUGGGUAGCAAACA
This 420-nucleotide ribosomal RNA is filed under the name uncultured bacterium. RNAcentral describes it as "bacterial SSU rRNA". It matches the Rfam family "Bacterial small subunit ribosomal RNA", at positions 355 to 774 of the family's 1533-position model. The record is from RNAcentral.